This 25-nucleotide non-coding RNA is filed under the name Mus musculus (house mouse). Lineage: Eukaryota; Metazoa; Chordata; Mammalia; Rodentia; Muridae. The record is from RNAcentral.
UUGAGAAUUAAUAGCAUCCAAGGGA